This 28-nucleotide non-coding RNA is filed under the name Mus musculus (house mouse). The record is from RNAcentral. Lineage: Eukaryota; Metazoa; Chordata; Mammalia; Rodentia; Muridae.
UGAGUAGCGUGCCCUCAUAUUCUCCUCU